This 1506-nucleotide long non-coding RNA is filed under the name Oryctolagus cuniculus (rabbit). RNAcentral's name for it is "lncRNA (ENSOCUG00000031006.1)". Lineage: Eukaryota; Metazoa; Chordata; Mammalia; Lagomorpha; Leporidae. The record is from RNAcentral.
GAUUGGGCUGUAGUACAUUUCACUUAACACUAAACAAGUAUUUAUAGAGUACCGGCUGUGUCGUGGCAGUGCUAAAAGCAUCGUGAGUGCGAGGGAUAAAAAUAAUUAAAGCACAGAUUAGAGACAUAAACAAAUGCUUAGAAUACAAGAGGAGGUGCGAUAAGAGCCAGGGCAGAGGGGGACACAAAUGCCCCAGGAAGCGAGAACAGAGCACGGGGCACAGGAGCACAGGGCGGCCAAAGAGGCCCCACAAAGAGCCCUGAUGUGGGCACCAACCAGGGCCAAGGCCACAAAGGCGCAGCAGGGAGGCGCAGCAGGGAGACUGGCAGGGUGUGAGCGGAACUGCCACACGCGUCAGCCUCCAGAGCCGGAGUCGCUGCACCGCUCAAAGGGGCCCCUGGAAAGGACCUGGUCUUCAAGAUGCACCCACCCCCGGAUCCAGAUCCCCGGAACCACAAGCUGCUGGGAGACCUGUGACCCCCUAGAAUCCCAACAUCAGAGUUUGGAAGGAUCCUCAAGGGCCAGCAAACACCUGUUCUACGUGGAGAUCAACACACACAGGACCCAAGAGGAGAGGGCGCGCCCAGCGGGCCGGCCAUCGGACUCCCGUUCCCUUGCCACACUCACGCAGCUCGGCACUUCCUCUUCACAACAGCAGAGGUCAGGAGCCGUCCGCGUCACACACUUCUCCUCCCGGUGGAACCAGCUCAUCUCGGUCUCUAUACAUUUGGAGCAUCUGCUAGGCGCCUGCCAAGCCUGAAUCAUGGAACCAUUGGAUUUCAUGGGUGGAAACAUCUUAGAGUUCCUGGCUCAGGGAGCAAGCUCUGUCCUCUGGACAACUGACCCUCUGGUCAAGGUGCCCCAGCUUCACUCCCCUUCCCCGACUCCUCUCUGUCCCCCGCACGACCCAGACAAGCCCAGCCCGGCCCCCAGCCCAUGUUUUUGCUGUUUCUUUGCUCCUGUGCAGUUGUCCAGACCAGCCUAGGACGUCCCCAACCAGGACAGGUGUGACGAGACCUCUGGUCCAGCAUGGGCACGGUAGCUGCAGCCUUGGAGUCUCUGUAGGCCUUUAUGUAAGAAAAGGCUGGGAGAAUGCUCCCAGCUUCAGGAAACUACAUAUUGUGCAUUAAAGAAGAGGGGACUUGGGGCUGACACCGUAGUGUAGCAGGUAAAGCUGCCGCCUGCAGUGCUGGCAUCCCAUGUGGGCACUGGUUCGACUCCCAGCUGCUCCACUUCCAAUCCAGCUCUCUGCUGUGGCCUGGGAAAGCAGUAGAAGAUGGCCCAAGUCCUUGAGCCCCUGCACCCACAUGGGAGACCUGGAGGAAGCUCCUGGCUCCUGGCUCCUGGCUCCUGGCUUCGGAUUGGCACAGCUCCAGCUGCUGCGGCCAACUGGGGAGUGAACCAGUGGAUGGAAGACCUCUCUUCUCUCUGCCUCUCCUUCUCUCUCUGUCUAACUCUGACUUUCAAGUAAAUAAAUGAAUCUUAAAGAAGAAGAAGAUACCUUGG